UACGGAGGGAGCAAGCGUUAUUCGGAAUCACUGGGCGUAAAGGACGCGUAGGCGGGUUGGUAAGUCAGAUGUGAAAUCCUACAGCUCAACUGUAGAACGGCAUUUGAAACUACCGACCUAGAGUAUGGAAGGGGCAGAUGGAAUUAGUGGUGUAGGGGUAAAAUCCGUAGAUAUCACUAGGAAUACCGAAAGCGAAGGCGAUCUGCUGGGACAUUACUGACGCUGAGGCGUGAAAGCGUGGGGAGCAAACAGGAUUAGAUACCCUGGUAGUCCACGCCCUAAACGAUGAACACUAGUCGUCGGAGUACACGUUACUUCGGUGAUGCACUUAACAGAUU
Molecule: ribosomal RNA, 338 nt
Filed under: uncultured bacterium
Lineage: Bacteria
Description: bacterial SSU rRNA
Rfam family: Bacterial small subunit ribosomal RNA
Source: RNAcentral